CAAGCUGUUUGGGUCUCUAGCAAACCGGGGCGGAGGGGCCUACAAGGACCUCAGUCUCUCACUCGCUUAACAAAGGACAGCAACCACCCACAAGACACCGAGCAAACCUUUCUCCGUCCGGGCAUGAGAGAAGUCCACAACUAAACAAGAGAGCAACAGAGCUGGCUCCCGGAGCAAGCAGGAACUGCAAGAAUCGCGGGCACCUUUCCUCCGCUGCCUUUCCCUCCAAGCUGCCCCCGGACGGGUGCCCUCCCUCCCUCAUUGCCUCCUUCGCAGGGGCCUCUCCCGGGCUGCUGAACACAAUGGAACCGGCUGCGAGGCAGCGCGCGAAGCUAGGAGCCUCCAGGAAUCCGAGGUCGCCUGGGGGAGGGGGUCAUCCUUGAGACCCGCAGUCCCGAGCGCCAUCGCGGCGUUUCCCCUCCGAGUCCCCAUUGGGCACGAGCUGAGGAUGGGAGCCGAGCUCCUCACAGUCCCUCUCCGACCCGCUCUCGGAAACUCUGCCCGAGCCCGGAUCUUCCAGCAGCCACGACAGCUCUGGUUUAUCCACACUCCUCUUUGUUGUCCCCGGUCCCCGCACUCCGUCAAGAGCCGGCCAAUAGCCUGGAGUCCCGCCGCCGCCUGCUAGCCUCGCCGGAACCCAGGGACCUCCACCCCCUCCACAGGAUGGAAGGAGCACCCCAGCAGAGCAAUGCCGCACGGAGCAGGCCACCACGGCGGGAAAAAGUUUGCACGCUCUAGCGGGCUCUCCUAGACCCCAGAAUCGCCCAGUGACCGGGACUCAAACCACCUUGCAGCCCCUCCAGUUCCCGGAAGGCAAUCUAGGCUCCCGCCACCUGCUGUGGAGGCAGUAGGAGGCGCUGGGCGACCUCCUCCACUCCCCCCAUCCCUGCUCUGGGUGUUCUAGAAGAGGGUGCGCUCAGCGGGGUUCGCACUCAGAACUACUCACCACUCUGCUCCAUCUCCCACCCCUCGGUGCCCUCCAGGCCCAGGCCACCCGGAUAGUUCCCACUGCCUGGUUCAUGAAUUAUUUAAAGUCCGGUCUCGGGGCACCACCAGGGUUGCUGGGUGAGAGACCGUCCCGCUGCCCCGCCCCGGUUGGCUAGGGACUCAAGAGGCAGGAGGACUACGGGACCCCAGGACUCUUGAGAACCUGUUGCGUCCUCCUGGGUGCCCCUGCGGACAUCUAGGAAUGGAACUAAGAGAAAAUAUCGACACCUUCAGAAACAAUACUUACCCAUGGUUGAGCUCUAGGCCAGGUGACAGGGUCUCUACCAGGCUCAGUAAUUUAAAGAGCACUAAGCCUAGGGCUCUGGGAGCUCUCUGAUUGGAUAUUCUGAGCGGCUCGGCCACAAUGCCCUGGGGACACCCACAGGACAGCAGUUAUUUCCUGCUGAAAGCCCUACUGAGCACCAGAACAGACUUCUGUGUCACCUAAUCCUAAAUCGCUCCUUGGAAGGAGACUAAUUCCUAAAGUCUUUUGCUUCCACGCUCUUUUCUUGGCCUUUUUAGACAAGGUUACUGGAGCCCAGUGCAUUUUAUUAAAAACAAAAACUAAAG
Molecule: long non-coding RNA, 1557 nt
Organism: Mesocricetus auratus (golden hamster)
Lineage: Eukaryota; Metazoa; Chordata; Mammalia; Rodentia; Cricetidae
Exons: 2
Source: RefSeq, a predicted model, not a curated record